GUCCACGCUGUAAACGAUGAGCACUAGGUGUCGCGGGUAUUGACCCCUGCGGUGCCGACGCUAACGCAUUAAGUGCUCCGCCUGGGGACUACGGCCGCAAGGCUAAAACUCAAAGGAAUUGACGGGGGCCCGCACAAGCGGUGGAGCAUGUGGUUCAAUUCGACGCAACGCGAAGAACCUUACCUGGGCUAGACAACGGAGGACCGCCUCAGAGAUGAGGUUUUCCCUCGGGACUUCCGGUUCAGGUGCUGCAUGGCUGUCGU
RNAcentral lists this ribosomal RNA (263 nucleotides) under uncultured bacterium. Its description in RNAcentral is "partial 16S ribosomal RNA". It matches the Rfam family "Bacterial small subunit ribosomal RNA", at positions 793 to 1055 of the family's 1533-position model. The record is from RNAcentral.